Molecule: signal recognition particle RNA, 320 nt
Filed under: Macaca mulatta (Rhesus monkey)
Lineage: Eukaryota; Metazoa; Chordata; Mammalia; Primates; Cercopithecidae
Description: Metazoan signal recognition particle RNA (ENSMMUG00000054852.1)
Rfam family: Metazoan signal recognition particle RNA
About the family: The signal recognition particle (SRP) is a universally conserved ribonucleoprotein. It is involved in the co-translational targeting of proteins to membranes. The eukaryotic SRP consists of a 300-nucleotide 7S RNA and six proteins: SRPs 72, 68, 54, 19, 14, and 9.
Source: RNAcentral
GCUGGGCGUGGUGGCGGGCGCCUGUAGUCCCAGCUACUCGGGAGGCUGAGGCAGGAGAAUGGCAUGAACUUGGGAGGCAGAGCUUGCAGUGAGCUGAGGUUGUGCCACUGCACUCCAGCCUGGGCGACAGAGCGAGACUCCAUCUCAAAAAAAAAAAAAAAAAAAAAGAGGAGAUACGGAUAUGGCCUGAAACAUUAAGUUUCUUUUUUUUUUUUUUUUGAGACGGAGUCUUGCUGUGUAGCCCAGGCUGGAGUGCAGUGGCGGGAUCUCGGCUCACUGCAAGCUCUGCCUCCCGGGUUCACGCCAUUCUCCUGCCUCAG